AUACUGAGUUUAUAUGUUGAUAUAUUUUAAAACUGAAAAUAAUUGGACUGGCAGAUGUUCAAUGGAUAGACACUAUGUUCUGACUAAGGGUAUAAUAUUCAAAUAGAGAUGUGCCUUUUCAAUAUAAUGGAAUUUUAUGCGACUGUCAUACAAGUGAGAGGUUAAGAUAGCUAUAAAACCAGGUUAAAUCCAUAGUUUUCUACAUAAGAAAAUGCCUGUACCAAGUCAGGACUAUGACAGUUGUUAUCCAUUCAUUUGAUGUGUUUGAGCUUUUGAUUUUGCCAUUUGAUAAGGUACUUUCCUUUCCAUUUUGAAUUUUUCUCAGAGUCCAGUAUUUUUGUGAUUUUACUUUUUUUUUCUAUUUUAUUACUGUGCAUAAUAAAAUUACUGAUAUGUGAUAUUAUUGAUCUUGUAUACAUUUUGUAUUUGUAUUCAGGUAGCAUAUUUACUUAAACAGUGAACACUUAUUUAGGCUUAAUCAAACUAAUGCUUUUCA
RNAcentral lists this long non-coding RNA (496 nucleotides) under Mytilus galloprovincialis (Mediterranean mussel). The record is from RNAcentral. Lineage: Eukaryota; Metazoa; Mollusca; Bivalvia; Mytilida; Mytilidae.